UACGUAGGUGACCAGCGUUGUCCGGAUUUACUGGGCGUAAAGAGCGCGCAGGCGGUCGUUCAAGUCGAGUGUGAAAGCCCCCGGCUCAACUGGGGAGGGUCAUUCGAUACUGAUCGACUCGAAGGCAGGAGAGGGAAGCGGAAUUCCCGGUGUAGUGGUGAAAUGCGUAGAUAUCGGGAGGAACACCAGUGGCGAAGGCGGCUUCCUGGCCUGUUCUUGACGCUGAGGCGCGAAAGCUAGGGUAGCAAACGGG
RNAcentral lists this ribosomal RNA (253 nucleotides) under uncultured bacterium. RNAcentral's name for it is "partial 16S ribosomal RNA". It matches the Rfam family "Bacterial small subunit ribosomal RNA", at positions 524 to 776 of the family's 1533-position model. The record is from RNAcentral.